RNAcentral lists this small nucleolar RNA (83 nucleotides) under Lupinus angustifolius (narrow-leaved blue lupine). RNAcentral describes it as "snoRNA snoZ102_R77". It matches the Rfam family "Small nucleolar RNA Z102/R77". From Rfam's summary of the family: Z102 and R77 and are members of the C/D class of snoRNA which contain the C (UGAUGA) and D (CUGA) box motifs. The record is from Rfam by way of RNAcentral. Lineage: Eukaryota; Viridiplantae; Streptophyta; Magnoliopsida; Fabales; Fabaceae.
GAAUUCAAUGAUGAUUAUUUGUUUCCCUUAAUAGUUUGAUUGCCUGAAUGAUGGUAUUUUGUAUAAGCUCUAUCUGACCAUUC